AUCUUGUCAUACUGUCUCAGGUAAAGGUGAAGGUUGGUGCAUGUUAAACUUUUAAACCCGCUGCAAUUUAUUGCACCUGUCCUAAGUCAGAAGCCUCUUGUUCAGUGGUUGUCGUUUGUUGGAGUGCUUCAUAGGUAUUUCUCGUUUCUCGUUUUUUUUAUAUAGAUAAGACUGUUGGUUUUUCUCUUUGAAUUGUUUUACACUUAUUCUUUUCGGUCGUUUAUAGCUUGCUACUCGUCGUGAGGUAAGGCUCCGUGUUGAAGAAAGUGCUUUGACCUAUAAUGGUAAACUUUUUAUACUUUGUGACUUGGAUGGAGAGUUGUCUGUUUGGCACUCAUAUUACAUCUUCUUAUUUAUAAGGAGACAACUAUUGAGGAUUUUCAAUGAUAAGCGAAAGUGUUGUUAUCCUGUUGUAUACGGUUAUUUUAGGAGCAUCUAGACAAUUUUACAUCUAACUUUCCUUUCAUGCAAGAGUAAAUGUAAGACUACUGUUGUUUUUUUUUUGGUUUUUUUUACUUUAGUGCAUCCAUACCCUAUCAGCUGUUUGGAUUCGAUUUGUGAAUAUUAAGCAGUAUUCAGGACCGAUUUACACAGAAAGAAUACAACAAACGCACUAUUUGUUCCGUAAACUACAGUUGAUGCGUAAUUUAGUUGAUUCCUAACCUUUUAUAUCACCUGUGUAUGGUUAUAUUGUAGCAUUGCGGAGGCUCAACCCAUAGUUUUAGUUGUAAACGAUGGUCUGAUAGUUAAACUAUUUGUCAUUGAUUUUUCGUAAAUAAAUCUUAAAAAAUUUGGGUUGUCAUUCAUUCAUUGUAUGUUUUUUUUGUUAGUUCGUUGUUUUCUCUUGUCUACCUUUUUUUAUAAUCGACAAAAAAGCUCAUCAUAGCUUAUGUUUGAAUGUAUUAUGCUGUGCAGAAUCAAACUCAGCGAAGUUUCGUUUGUCCAUCUCCAUGUAUAAAUUCAAUUUCAUUACUAUGUAAACAGGCACAAAUUCAUGCAAUGAAAUAUGUUGUAUUUACAGUGUUUUUGGCGCACACGUAGUGAUUAACAAGAGUGCACACGCUGAAAUGUCUCGCCUUCUAUACUAAUCAUUGAUAUUAUGUUGAUAGUCCUAAGUAUAAAGCUAAGCUUUAAUACAACUGUCACAUAAACUUAACAUUAACCAAGAUAACUAAACAAAGACCAGUGAACCUUGAAAAUGAGGUCAAGGUCAGAUGAACCAUGCCAAGCAGACAUGUACAGCUAACAAUGCUUCUAUACAACAUAUAUAGUUGAC
Molecule: long non-coding RNA, 1276 nt
Filed under: Mytilus galloprovincialis (Mediterranean mussel)
Lineage: Eukaryota; Metazoa; Mollusca; Bivalvia; Mytilida; Mytilidae
Source: RNAcentral